GUCGAGAAUCUUUCACAAUGGGGGCAACCCUGAUGGAGCGACGCCGCGUGGAGGAUAAGGUCUUCGGAUUGUAAACUCCUGUCAUGCGUGAACAAGGUUGCUUGGUUAAUACCUGCGCAAAUUGAUGGUAACGCAAGAGGAAGAGACGGCUAACUCUGUGCCAGCAGCCGCGGUAAUACAGAGGUCUCAAGCGUUGUUCGGAAUCACUGGGCGUAAAGGGUGCGUAGGUGGCGUGGUAAGUCAGAUGUGAAAGCCCGGGGCUCAACCUCGGAACUGCACUCGAUACUGCCAUGCUAGAGUACUGGAGAGGUGACUAGAAUUCUCGGUGUAGGAGUGAAAUGCGUAGAUAUCGAGAGGAAUACCAAAGGCGUAGGCAGGUCACUGGACAGUUACUGACACUGAGGCACGAAGGCCAGGGGAGCGAACGGGAUUAGAUACCCCGGUAGUCC
This 449-nucleotide ribosomal RNA is filed under the name uncultured bacterium. RNAcentral describes it as "partial 16S ribosomal RNA". It matches the Rfam family "Bacterial small subunit ribosomal RNA", at positions 354 to 796 of the family's 1533-position model. The record is from RNAcentral.